This 879-nucleotide ribosomal RNA is filed under the name uncultured eukaryote. Its description in RNAcentral is "SSU rRNA". It matches the Rfam family "Eukaryotic small subunit ribosomal RNA", at positions 571 to 1476 of the family's 1831-position model. The record is from RNAcentral.
CAGCCGCGGUAAUUCCAGCUCCAAUAGCGUAUAUUAAAGUUGUUGCAGUUAAAAAGCUCGUAGUUGGAUCUCGGGUCCGGGCUCGCGGUCCACCUCGCGGUGGUUACUGCCCGUCCCGACCUACCUACCGGUUUUCCCUUGGUGCUCUUAACUGAGUGUCUCGGGUGGCCGGACCGUUUACUUUGAAAAAAUUAGAGUGUUCAAAGCAGGCGCUUCGCCUGAAUAAUGUUGCAUGGAAUAAUGGAAUAGGACCUCGGUUCUAUUUUGUUGGUUUUCGGAACUCGAGGUAAUGAUUAAGAGGGACAGACGGGGGCAUUCGUAUGAUGGUGUUAGAGGUGAAAUUCUUGGAUCGCCGUCAGACGAACUACUGCGAAAGCAUUUGCCAAGAAUGUUUUCAUUAAUCAAGAACGAAAGUCAGAGGUUCGAAGACGAUCAGAUACCGUCCUAGUUCUGACCAUAAACGAUGCCGACUAGCGAUCCGCCGGAGUUGUUUCAAUGACCCGGCGGGCAGCUUCCGGGAAACCAAAGUCUUUGGGUUCCGGGGGAAGUAUGGUUGCAAAGCUGAAACUUAAAGGAAUUGACGGAAGGGCACCACCAGGAGUGGAGCCUGCGGCUUAAUUUGACUCAACACGGGAAAGCUUACCCGGCCCGGACACCGUAAGGAUUGACAGAUUGAGAGCUCUUUCUUGAUUCGGUGGGUGGUGGUGCAUGGCCGUUCUUAGUUGGUGGAGCGAUUUGUCUGGUUAAUUCCGAUAACGAACGAGACUCUAGCCUAUUAAAUAGUUCGCCGAUUUCGAUCUGUCGGCGUUAACUUCUUAGAGGGACAAGUGGCUUUUAGCCACGCGAGAUUGAGCAAUAACAGGUCUGUGAUGCCCAAGG